GAUUUUUGGUGGAAUCCUCAGACAGUGUUUCAUCAGAUGAGGAAAACGAGUUACUACUAAUGAUAGCUAAGCCACAUGUAAUGCCACAUCUUCGUUGCCAAAAUUACGUUGAAAAUGUUGUGCCUUUAUAUACUGAUAAAGAAUUUAAAAUGCACUUUUGAAUGAGACGGAAUACUUUUCAAUUUUUGUUAGAGUUAUUAAGACCAAAACUCUGCAAACAGACAGAAAGAUUUGGCAGAGAACCAAUUUUACCUGAGAAACAAUUACUUAUUGCAAUAUGGAUGUUGGCUACACCAAAUUCUUAUAGAUGUAUUUCAGACAGAUUUAAUGUAGGUAAAGGCACUGCAUGGCGAUGUGUGCAUAGAGUAAUAAAUGCCUUAUAUGCAGAAAUAAGGACAUUUAUCAAAUGGCCAACUAAACAAGAAGCAGAGCAAACUAUGGAAACCAUUCAAAAUCAAUACGGUUUCCCAGGUGUUAUUGGUGCGGUGGAUGGAACACAUGUAAGAAUUGCUGCGCCACAAGACCACGGUGAAUCAUACGUAAAUAGAAAGGGAUUUUACUCUAUUCAAUU
Temnothorax curvispinosus is the source of this 571-nucleotide long non-coding RNA. RefSeq lists it as uncharacterized. The record is from RefSeq and is a predicted model, not a curated record. Lineage: Eukaryota; Metazoa; Arthropoda; Insecta; Hymenoptera; Formicidae. The transcript has 3 exons.